AGCAGUAGCCACGGUAAUACGAAGGGUGCAAGCGUUAAUCGGAAUUACUGGGCGUAAAGCGUGCGUAGGCGGUUUGUUAAGUCUGUUGUGAAAUCCCCGGGCUCAACCUGGGAAUGGCAAUGGAUACUGGCAAGCUAGAGUGUGUCAGAGGAUGGUGGAAUUCCCGGUGUAGCGGUGAAAUGCGUAGAGAUCGGGAGGAACAUCAGUGGCGAAGGCGGCCAUCUGGGACAACACUGACGCUGAGGCACGAAAGCGUGGGGAGCAAACAGGAUUAGAUACCCGCGUAGUCCCUGUCUCUUAUAC
Molecule: ribosomal RNA, 303 nt
Filed under: uncultured bacterium
Lineage: Bacteria
Description: partial 16S ribosomal RNA
Rfam family: Bacterial small subunit ribosomal RNA
Source: RNAcentral